Molecule: long non-coding RNA, 450 nt
Organism: Ursus maritimus (polar bear)
Lineage: Eukaryota; Metazoa; Chordata; Mammalia; Carnivora; Ursidae
Source: Ensembl
CCUGUGUCUGCUGUCUGUGCUGAACAGGGCAGUCUCAGAAGUGAGGCGAAGUGAAUGCUUUUCUACCCAAAUCCAGCUUGUGCUAAGAAUCAGACACUACAAUCACUUUAAAGAGCAAGGAUGGAGAGCCACCAGAAUGCUGGCUGCAUCCCAGUGUCACUGCUGGAAUGUCGAAGUGAUGGGGAAAACAGGGCAAAAUCUGCACCUCCUCUUCUCACCCCAAGAUGCUCAUGGAUGGAUGAGCUGAAGCCAGUGACUGUCUUGUCUCGCCUUGCAAAAAGUCGGCUACGCCAAGCUACAUAGGAGCAGCUCUGUGAGGCCACCGUUCCUGCGGCCACGGAAAGAGGAGAAGACCCAGAGACUCAAAACCCAGAGUUCUGACAGAGUCCCCACGCCCUUCCCGCUGCGCGAGGACAAGGCGGUCCCACGGUCCCUUCGGGAGCGACGACU